AGAGUUUGAUCCUGGCUCAGGAUGAACUUCUGGCGGCGUGCUUAACACAUGCAAGUCGAACGAAGCACUUUAUUUGAUUUCCUUCGGGACUGAUUAUUUUGUGACUGAGUGGCGGACGGGUGAGUAACGCGUGGGUAACCUGCCUUGUACAGGGGGAUAACAGUUGGAAACGGCUGCUAAUACCGCAUAAGCGCACAGCAUCGCAUGAUGCAGUGUGAAAAACUCCGGUGGUAUAAGAUGGACCCGCGUUGGAUUAGCUAGUUGGUGAGGUAACGGCCCACCAAGGCGACGAUCCAUAGCCGACCUGAGAGGGUGACCGGCCACAUUGGGACUGAGACACGGCCCAAACUCCUACGGGAGGCAGCAGUGGGGAAUAUUGCACAAUGGGCGAAAGCCUGAUGCAGCGACGCCGCGUGAGCGUAGAAGUAUUUCGGUAUGUAAAGCUCUAUCAGCAGGGAAGAUAAUGACGGUACCUGACUAAGAAGCACCGGCUAAAUACGUGCCAGCAGCCGCGGUAAUACGUAUGGUGCAAGCGUUAUCCGGAUUUACUGGGUGUAAAGGGAGCGCAGGCGGUGCGGCAAGUCUGAUGUGAAAGCCCGGGGCUCAACCCCGGUACUGCAUUGGAAACUGUCGUACUAGAGUGUCGGAGGGGUAAGCGGAAUUCCUAGUGUAGCGGUGAAAUGCGUAGAUAUUAGGAGGAACACCAGUGGCGAAGGCGGCUUACUGGACGAUAACUGACGCUGAGGCUCGAAAGCGUGGGGAGCAAACAAAAGUAGAUACCCUGGUAGUCCACGCCGUAAACG
RNAcentral lists this ribosomal RNA (803 nucleotides) under uncultured bacterium. Its description in RNAcentral is "bacterial SSU rRNA". It matches the Rfam family "Bacterial small subunit ribosomal RNA", at positions 8 to 808 of the family's 1533-position model. The record is from RNAcentral.